GUGAGGAAUUUUCCGCAAUGGGCGAAAGCCUGACGGAGCAAUGCCGCGUGAAGGAUGAAGGCCUAUGGGUUGUAAACUUCUUUUCUCAGAAAAGAAUUAUGACGGUAUCUGAGGAAUAAGCAUCGGCUAACUCUGUGCCAGCAGCCGCGGUAAGACAGAGGAUGCAAGCGUUAUCCGGAAUGAUUGGGCGUAAAGCGUCUGUAGGUUGUUUAAAAAGUAUUCUGUCAAAGAUUAGGGCUUAACCCUAGAUAGGCAGAAUAAACUUUUAAGCUAGAGUUUGGUAGAGGCAGAGGGAAUUCCCGGUGGAGCGGUGAAAUGCGUAGAUAUCGGGAGGAACACCAAAGGCGAAGGCACUCUGCUGGGCCAAUACUAACACUGAGAGACGAAAGCGAGGGGAGCAAAUGGGAUUAGAAACCCCCUGUAGUCC
Molecule: ribosomal RNA, 427 nt
Filed under: uncultured bacterium
Lineage: Bacteria
Description: partial 16S ribosomal RNA
Rfam family: Bacterial small subunit ribosomal RNA
Source: RNAcentral